CUUCCUCGGGGUUUGCUUCCAGGCCUGACUUUUACUCCCCUUUCUAAGUGUGCAGAUGGGAUGUGCUUCUCCACAGGAGGCCCCACGGCUUCCCCACCCCUCAGAGGAGCGCCGUGCGUGCGUCUGUGUGGAGGAUUGGCAGCUCCUGCAGUCGGCCCUUGGUCCUAUUUGGCGACGCCUCUGCCUUCCCCUUAAUUAUACAGUCAUGAGCCGCCCUGGAAUCACGGCAGCUCCGGAUGGAUCCUGGAUGCCAGAAUGCAGCCUCAGCACGGGGCUGCAGGACAGGAGUGAGCGAGGGGCUGCAGAGCCGGCGGCCGCGGUGGGCACCAUGGAGGGGGCUGCCCUGGGCAGCACGGGCAUGAGUCUCAAGGCCCAGGUUUGAGUAACAGGUGUUGAGAGCUUACUUACUUUUCCUGAGACACAGUUUCCUCAUCUCGAGAGCACGGAAAAUCAUUCUAACUUCAGAGGAUUGUUGUGAAAGUUAAAUGAGAUUAAAGAGGUAAAGCCCAUGACGUGCUUAGCUCGUGCUUGGCUCUUGGUCAAUGCCAGUUAGCGCUGCAUUUUCUCCCCUCUCCCUCCCUCCUUCUCUCUUUCUUUUCUUCUAUUCUCCAUUCCUGUUUUCUCCCCCACCCCACUCCCCAAAGCUCUGCGUUGAGAACCAGAUGCUGUCUGGUGGGUUAGGGCCAGAGGAGGAAAAGCUGCCCGCCGUGGGCUGCACCCAUACCCUCUUCAUUCCAAUGACAUGAGGGGAGGGGAAAGGACAGAGGUAGACUGUCCUCCCCUACCUCCUCCUAAUACAAAUGGAAUUCCUGGAACUGGAAAACAAAGAAUACCCCCAUAAAAAUAAGACAGUACUUCUGGUGCGGUGUAAUAAAGGGGAAAGUAACCCUCAAUGUCAGGAAACUCCGCACCUCCCAGCUCAUAUUUGUGUGGAGGAAAAGUUAAAUAUUAAUUUGGACUCAACUGAAUGUGGACACAAACAAUGGUCACCAAGUCCCGGAACAGGUUGUGUGAGCCUCUUCAGGGGUUCAUCCAGCGCUGUUUUGGAGAAAUCUCUAUUUCAAUUUAUUCCUAUACGUUAGUUACUGAAAAACAACAGACAAUCGCAAAAGCAAGUUGCCCGUUUUGUGUUCCUUGAGCCCAAUCAUGAAGUGCCGUCGUGACUGGGCCUCAUGACAAACAACUUGUAACAAGUAACAACAGAGCUCAGGUCCCAGACCGCACUGAAGCUCUGUGAGACCUCUCCUCAUCUGUGCAUGAACGAGUGUCUGACUCUGGAGCCCAGCCUGCUGCUUCCCAGUCUGGUGGUGAAUCCUCCGUAGUCUGAUGGAGGUUUGCUCUUGUUGCCCAGGCUGGAGUGCAAUGGCACAAUCUCGGCUCACUGCAGCCCCUGCCUCCCAGGCUCAAGCAAUUCUUACGCCUCAGCCUCCUGAGUAGAUGGAACUACAGGGCAUGGACUGGAACUCCCAAUACCCCUGACAUGGGCUGAGUCAACGUGGUCAUGAACAUGUGACAGGAGGCAGCAGAAGUUGCAGAGAAGAGUGAGGCACGUUUGAAAAAGGCUGAAAAAUGUUUCUGUCCAGGCAAGGGUGUGUGCUGAAUGACUCAAGGAUUUUUUGGGCAACACAAACCAACACGAGCCGUGUGAGGAUCAGGUGACAGCUGCCCAAAAGCUGACACAAGGAACAAGCCUGGAGGAGUGAGGAUGGGUGCUGUGAAGGAGGUUGUGCAGCUGGGCCCGCAGUCGGACCUGGUGAGAUCAGAGGAGGGGGUGCCACCAGUCUGUGGACGAAGAUGAGAAGCUGGAAUAGAGCAGAAAACAGGAGGCUGCCACUCUCCAUCUUUCCCAAAGUCACUCCAGGAGCAAGGGUGUCAUUUACUGAAAUGACAGACUCUCCAUUUCACAUUUUUCCCCCAAGUGCAGAGUGCAGGGAAGCAGAUGGGCUAAAUUUUUAGAGUCAGGGUUAUUAAUGUAUACUUUACAUAGUAAACUUUC
Long non-coding RNA from Homo sapiens (human), 1996 nucleotides. Ensembl annotates it as B3GAT1 divergent transcript. Its record names the gene B3GAT1-DT. NCBI's taxonomy places the organism in Eukaryota, Metazoa, Chordata, Mammalia, Primates, Hominidae. The record is from Ensembl.